Molecule: ribosomal RNA, 119 nt
Filed under: Pteropus alecto (black flying fox)
Lineage: Eukaryota; Metazoa; Chordata; Mammalia; Chiroptera; Pteropodidae
Source: RNAcentral
GUCUACGGCCAUGCCACCCUGAACAAGCCCGAUCCUGUCUGACCUUGGAAGCUAAGCAGUGUCGGGUCUGGUUAGUACUUGGAUGGGAGAUCACCUAGGAAGACCAGGUGCUGUAGGCG